Molecule: ribosomal RNA, 466 nt
Filed under: uncultured bacterium
Lineage: Bacteria
Description: partial 16S ribosomal RNA
Rfam family: Bacterial small subunit ribosomal RNA
Source: RNAcentral
ACGAACGCUGGCGGCGUGCUUAACACAUGCAAGUCGAACGGAAAGGCCCUGCUUUUGUGGGGUGCUCGAGUGGCGAACGGGUGAGUAACACGUGAGUAACCUGCCCUUGACUUUGGGAUAACUUCAGGAAACUGGGGCUAAUACCGGAUAGGAGCUCCUGCUGCAUGGUGGGGGUUGGAAAGUUUCGGCGGUUGGGGAUGGACUCGCGGCUUAUCAGCUUGUUGGUGGGGUAGUGGCUUACCAAGGCUUUGACGGGUAGCCGGCCUGAGAGGGUGACCGGCCACAUUGGGACGGAGAUACGGCCCAGACUCCUACGGGAGGCAGCAGUGGGGAAUAUUGCACAAUGGGCGGAAGACUGAUGCAGCAACGCCGCGUGCGGGAUGACGGCCUUCGGGUUGUAAACCGCUUUCGCCUGUGACGAAGCGUGAGUGACGGUAAUGGGUAAAGAAGCACCGGCUAACUACGU